Mya arenaria is the source of this 2338-nucleotide long non-coding RNA. RefSeq lists it as uncharacterized. NCBI's taxonomy places the organism in Eukaryota, Metazoa, Mollusca, Bivalvia, Myida, Myidae. The record is from RefSeq and is a predicted model, not a curated record. The transcript is spliced from 5 exons.
GGUUACGAAAUGACCAACAAUGAGCGGUUACGAAAUGAUCAUAAUUCAUUUGACAGGGCUUUUACCAGCUGUUUGUCUGUGCAGAGCGGGAAUUUUACCUGGGAUUGGCUGGACCGAAAGUCAAAGUCCCCGCUAUUAGCAGGACCUUGGGGGCCCAUGCUGCAAUUGACUGUUGCAUUAUUUGGAUUUUUUCUUAACUUUACGACACGCCCCCCUACAGUAUUUUAUAGUCAAGUUUAGUAAUAUUUUUUUACAGAAAUUGGAUAACUUAACAAGUAAAGUAAACUGUACUGAGCUUUUAAACAAACCUACAUACUUAUAAAUCAAAAUUGAUAUUUUAGGGUCUACACUGAAUAAACCCAAAAUGUUAGUUUUGAUUUGCUAAAUUCGAACAGUAUUUAGUCAAUCCACACAAAAUUUACAGGAUCAUCAGAUAACAAAUUUUCUAAAAAUUCUCCGUUUGCCAAAUAGGGAAGACAGGAUUAAGUGGGAUUAAAAGGUUGCUAUCUGUGACCAAAAAAAUACUGUUCAAAAUUGUGAGUAUUCAUUUAUCUUUCGUUCAGUAAAGAGCAUGCAAUGGCAUAGUGGUUGGAUUAGAUAAUCUGACAGCGGUGCUGGACGUCAGGAGUUCAAAUAUUGUUGUGAGUUCAAUGUACCAAAAGAAUACCUUUGGAAUACACUACCGGGUAUUAUCUAUAAAAAUGGCAGAGCAAAUUGCCCAUAUUGUAGUAAUGUCUUAGAUCCAGCUUGGAUAACUUGGACACAGUAAGCGGUUCACACCCAGGGAAAUUCUCAGAUAAAACAGCGCCUAUAAACUUGAACAUUACAUUUUUCAUUGAGACAAUUAAAGAAAAAACAUUAUUGCUGAUCUUCUGAAAACAAAUCCUCUAACAUUCAAAUAUUUAAUUUGUUGGAUGAACUAAGGUUUAUAUUGAUAAGAGAUUGCUUCAGUUGGAUUUAAACUAAUCACCAACAAAAAUAUAUGCAUUUAAAUCACACAAUGUAAACAACUGCGCCACAGAUCUUAUCUGUAUGUUUUGGGUUUUUAAAAUUUAGCAGUUAAAUAUAGAUUAGCAUACUGGUAGGUCUGGUUGGUCUGUUGCUUUAGUUGCUAAGUAAACAUAAUGUCAGUGAUUUCAUCACUAUUUCUAUUAAAAUAUCAGUUUUCCUCUUCAGGGCUUCUCACAUUUGCACCAUUUUUUUACCAUUUGAAUCAUAAAAAGAUAACAAACACAUGAACUUAACACUUUGUGAAUAUUUAAGGAAUGUAAGGGGUCAGAUUUCAGAUUGCUCAUUAUUGCUGGAACACUAAAUACUUUAUUUGAUUGUGUACACUGCACUUUCUUGUUAAGCAUUCAUCCAAAUCAUUUGGGUAAAUUUUGGCAGAAAAACUGCUUUUGGAUUUAUACUGGUCAUCAAAACCGGCACUGACAAAACAUAAGACGUGUUUAAUUAAUGUGCGGGAAAGAGGUUUAAAGGUGUCGGCCCACAACGAAAGGCUUGCGGGUUGCAGUACCCCUUUAAGUAGUUCUUGAAAAAAAUGAUUCUCUGAGGUAGCAUUUGAUUAUGUGUACAUUGUAUUCUUGUAUGUAUUUUCAAGUUAACACAUGAUUUAUAUAAGGUUUGUAUAAUUUUAGUUUUAUUUAAGUUUUAAAAUUUUGAUAUUUUUUUUAAGAUUUGCCUGCCCCUGUCUGAACACUUAAAUUCUUGGUCUUUGGUCUAUUGUCUGCAACUUCAAAACACACUUUUUGGAACAGGACACAUUUUCCUGAUAUUUUAUCCAGUUUGACUGCAAUAUAAGUUGUAUUUAUCAAUAAUUUAAGUAAAAAAUGACAUUUAUAUUUCCAUAAUUACCUGGUAGUUAUUUGUUAAUUUGUUUUAAUUCAUGGAUAGGUUUAUUGCGAGUGUCAUGGAAAGCUGGAACUUUUCAGUACACAACAUGCAAACUGAGAAUGAACUGUGUGUGCCGGCUUUGUGAACAAAAACGCAAGGCGGCUAUGAUACACUGUGUUGUGUGUGGAUAAGAAAUGCAGAGUGGUACCACCAAUUACCUAAGUCACCAUUCCCCUAACAGACAAAAGGCUCAUGGGGACAGUUCCUGCAGUUUACAGCAAAUUGUAGCCCUACAAACUUCAGAUACUGCCAAGCUUGGGUGCACUGGGCCGGUUAUCCAGCCGUGUGGAAUCAACAUCUCCAGCUGAACUUGGGCCGGGAAUUAUAUAAGAAUCCUUAGCAGCAUGAGUGCCAGCCAGUCAUUGCUGUUCUUUGCAUUGCUGAGGAGGACAGUCCUGCCAACAUAACAGUUUGUUCAAUAACAGGAGACAAACAGAAACACAGA